AGGAAGUGUCUCCUUCGUUCUGCAGCGGUGCCGGCGCAGGCUCUCGUGGAAGGGAUGUCUACAUGGCGGUGCUGGCAGGAGGUGGUGCUGUGCGUCUGCUGAUGGCAGGAUUUCAGUUCUGUCAGCGUGGCGAGCCUCGCAGUGACUAUGUAACACCGAUGUAUGGGGGACGCUUUUGCCUUCACAUCUCCAGCGGGUUUUUUUUAACUACGAAAAGAAGCAUUUAAAAUCCUUGUUGGGAAUGCCCCUAGGCUGGACGGCUUUGCAGGAGUUGCUGGCGCAAGGCAUAUUUACAUAGCCAGACUUUGACUGGAGAGCAGAGCUUCGGCCUGGCUCAGGCAGGUGCACUCCCAGAGGAGAGGGCCCGGGUGUGUCUCAUGGUACAGAAGAGGCAGGUCUGAGGUUUGAUGGAUAUACAAAGGAUUCUUUAUCGAGGCUGCUGGAUGCAGACAGACCCUGUGGUUCUCUGUGCAACUAGUUCCCAGAUUCACUAACAGCCUCUGCCACCACACAGGGUCUCCUCACAUCCUGCCCCGGACUCACCACCGUGGGUAACUCCUAAAGUAGCUGCUUUCCUCAGGAAGUUGUUGAAAUGGCAAAGCCACCCAUAGAAUACCAGCCUAUAGAGCUUGUCCAAUUCCUAUCACAGACACAGUUCCUUCUCCUUCAGCUGAAUUUCUAAAUCCAUCCCAAACCCAAACCGCUUCACAGCAAUUGACACCUGAUCUGUUAUUCAGAUUCAACAAUGAUACCUGCUCUGACAACUUGCUAACAAGCUUCUAUGACAACAGUCAACAUUCUGAACAGCCGUGGUCGAAGUCCAGGAACAAUCUGAAUGAACAAACUGAUGUGAAGGGCACGAUGGGUGAAAUGCUGGUGCCUCGUGCUGGCGUAAUCCUCCUCACAGACAGAAAUACGGAUGGACUGGGAAAUGCCCAUGGAAAGUGCUUGUACUAG
RNAcentral lists this long non-coding RNA (957 nucleotides) under Chrysemys picta bellii (western painted turtle). RNAcentral's name for it is "lncRNA (ENSCPBG00000024957.1)". The record is from RNAcentral. Lineage: Eukaryota; Metazoa; Chordata; Testudines; Emydidae.